AAGGAAGUAAUAGAUCGUGACAAUGCAGUUCUAGCAGUUCCAAAAUUUGAAUCAGUUGAGCCAUCAGCUCCAGCUACGGUAGAAUCAGUAUGCUUCCUGUACCGAUUGAGGUGUCUUUCUCCUGCAUUAGGUUCAUUUUAAAGUCAAAUUAUGCUUACGAGAUAAAUGUGUUUCUUGCUUUAGGCAUGCCCUAUUUGCUUAACCAAUCCGAAGGACAUGGCUUUUGGAUGCGGUCAUACAGUAAGUUUCUGUAAUGAAGUUAUUCGAUGCUAAUGUUUGUGUGCCAUAGGGUUUUAACUAUUUAUGUUUGAUAAUCCUAAUUUCUUUUUUACUUUAUGCUAAUGUCAAUGUUAAUAUUUUGGUUUCAGGUUUAAUCGUGUUUAAAUUUUAAGUUGAAAACUUUUUCGUUUGAGGAAGUCUUACUUUUGUGGUGGGGAUGAAAAUUGAUGGAAAAAUGAAAAAGAUACUCUCCUUGCUCAAAGUCAGAAUAAUGCAACGAUUAAAUAUUUAUCUCAGCAUUGCUGUGACUUUAAGUCUUAAGAGAACUAUUAUAAAAGUCAAUGAAUUUAUUAUCCACAGUAGUUUAUGAUCAAAUAAUAGUUUCAAAUAAUUGUUCACUGUCAGUACAUAAUCCGUAACAAAGUAAUAAAAUGGGUGGAUGAAACCAUCUAUUUUCACUUCCUUAAAUAUAAUUCCUCAAGAGGCACUACGGCAUAUUUAACCAACAUGUGAAAAUAUGUCUUAAUUAUUUGCAUUUUUCUUUUGACAGACUUGCAAGGAGUGUGGCGUGACAUUGUCUUCUUGCCCUAUGUGCCGGCAGCCAAUUACAACUCGCCUGAGACUAUUCACUUGAAUUGGACAUUUCUUAACACAUCAUUCAUGCUUUAUAUUUCCGCUAUUACCUGUAUAAGAAAUCUAAUGAACCUGUAAAAUCUCCUUCACAAGAUGUACAGAAAGGUUUGUAUGUACAGUGUAUUUUUGUUUGUGUUCAAAAAAAAUAAAUUAUGCUCAUUUAAUUUGGAAGUGUUUGAAUAUGUAUCUCCACAAAUUUGAAAAUUCAGUCUUAAAUGAAACAUUUUUUAUAAAUUUUGUUAAAUAUAUUAUCUUUAUUUUAUUUUUAUUUUUUAUUUUUUCUUAUUAGUUUAUUAUUAUUAUUUAUUUGUAUUUUUAGUUUAAUUUAUAUUUCUUCUGUUAUAAGUAUAUUUAAGAUAAGAAAAAUUAAUUUUAUAUAUAAUUUUUAUUAUAUUUAACAUUUUUCAUUAUUUUUUAAAGAUGUGUAGUCUUCUUUAUUUUGGUACGUUCUCAAUCUCUUCAUCAAAUUUCUCUCAAUUAAUUGUUUUAACUUUUUUACAUCAUCUUUUCUUUUUCAUCAAUUGCUUUAAUUGGUUAUAACUUGAACUAAUACUUUCCAUCUUAUUGUCUUGGUAACAUGGACAUAAAAGGCAAGAAAAUAGUUUGAUCGUAACUUUCGCUUCAAAAUUGUACAUCAAAACACCAAGCAAUAAUAAAAAAAAAAAACUAUCCAAAAAAUAUAAUAACAAGAAAAAAAGAAGAAAAGUUAAUUUUGACGCAAUUGUGAUUGAGAUGUUGAAUUAAGAGAAAGAAACAUAGAGGUUCAUUUUUAACGCCAAUUGCCUCUCUUGACACGUGACAGUCUCUUUCGUUUUUGACCAUUUAAGAUGUUACACUCCAUUUGCUUACCCCCAAGAAAGUGACCCUUCACUCACUACAUUGUCUUUUCUUUUUCAUGGCAUGCUUUAAUUAUCUAUCAUUCCAACUAAUUAUUUUCAAUUUUCAUUUUACACUAAAACAUGUUCUUUGGUAAAAGUUUCAUCUUCUUAUUCAUUCAAUUGUGUGUGUGAACAAACACAAGAUGCUUGUCGUUGAGAUUAUUUGUGCUUGAAUCUUGUUAUUUUUGAAGCUUAAACAUUGUUUGCUUUAACCAAGAUGAAUAUUACCAAGAUGGAUUGUGAUUUUUCUUCUAAAUAAGAAAAAAAAAAUAACUCCUCAAAGUAUUUAGGAAUGUGGAUAAAGUGCAAGAGACAUUUGGAGACAAAGAAAAAUUCAUUUCUGUGGAAAGGAAAUAAAACAGACAAGUGAUAGACAUGCGUGUCUAUAAUUGAUAACUUCUGAAAAAGAUAAAGUUCUUUGCCUCGCACUGUGAUAUUAAUUAUUGCAGUGUUUACAAUUUUUCAAACAAACUUCAUUCUAAGCAUUUCUAAAAGAAUGAUAUCAAAGAUGAAAUGAGUUUAUUUCUACAUUAAAAAAAUUAUAUAUAAGUUAAAAAUAAUAUCCCAGAAAAAUUAUACAAAAAUUGUUACAAAUUAACUUUACUUAAGUUAAAUUUAACUUAUAACCCUUUUAUCAAUUUUUCUGUGCUAGAAAUAUUCAAGAACAAACGGGUCAAAAACUUACUUUUUAAACAAUUUUCGCUUUUAAGGACAAAGACAGAUAUGACAUACUCGAUCAAAGGUUAGUCUCAAGUUAUGACCUCUAUUGAUAAAAUACGUUAGGCCUGUUGUACUCAGCAAACUAUGAUACGAUAUAGUUCAUUAUAAUUUAUAUGUUUAUUUGGGACAUGAUAUAUAUAAUUGAUAAUGAUUCUUAUGUAUAAUUAAUCAUUUAAUCCUUGAGAUGUGCAUAAAAGAAAUAUGUCAGAAAGAAGGAUGAUUCCGUUAAACAUACCUAGUGUAUCAGAAAACCAUAAAGACUAUCACAGAUCUGACACCUAUUCAAGAAAUACCAUAAAAAGACACAAAACCUGCGACCCACAAGCUUAAGAUAAAGUUGUUGAUAGGGUGUAAUAAACAUCACAACACACUUUGUCUCUUACAUAAGACAAGCAGGUACAAAACCUUAGAGAAGAAUCAGAUGAGGUUUAUUGAGUUCUUUCAACAAUUUCUGCAAUGAUAUAGAGAUUUGAAAUGGCGGCAUUCCAACCAAUUAAUAAACAUCCAAAUACUUCAAAUCUGUCAUAAUAGAGCUUAAAUCAAUUUGUAAGAUAAGAAUGAUCCUUCUUAAUAUAUUAUUGUAGAAAAAUGUUGUUCAAAUAUUUGUGAAAAUAAAUCAUAACAAUUGGAAAUCAUUUUCAUUCAUUUGUUCGUUCCUUUAACAGUAGACCCUGUGUUCUGGCCACUGCAGUGUAAACUGGUUUCGCCAUGAAAAAGAAACAGAUUACUGAACUUCUUUGCAGAAAAACAAAGAACAACAACACUGAUUCCAUCAAGGAUCAUCAACAACAUAUACUAUGGUACCAACACAACCACACGACUAGGAAAAGAAAAAAUAAAAAAUAUUAUUUUAUUAUACAUGGAGAGAUAACAAAUUAAGGUUCAGGAAGAGGAUGAAGAAGAAGAAUUCGACUUAAAGAUACCCAUUAUGAUCGUUUUUCGGCUUUCCGCUCGGUUGGGCGGAACGUUGGCGAAUGUACCGGAGGGAUGCGGCCUCCUCACCGGAGGACCCUGACCCGACCCGUUUCCACCGCCGUUGUUUCCACUCAUACCUCCACUUUCUUUCUUCAGAACAAUUGAAUCUGCUCCCUCUAUUCAUUUCCCUUCUUAUAUAGACCAAGGUUUUACCUACUUCCACU
Molecule: long non-coding RNA, 3589 nt
Filed under: Vigna radiata
Lineage: Eukaryota; Viridiplantae; Streptophyta; Magnoliopsida; Fabales; Fabaceae
Description: long non-coding RNA (VRAD_LNC016319)
Source: RNAcentral